GUUUAAUUAAGAUAAUAUUGCUGAAGCAAUAUAUCAUAUUAUUGUCAACGACGAUUACUUUUCCGUACAAAACAUAUUUGUGGAAUUGGAUAUGGCACAAAUGCUUACGCCUAAAUUACAACAGACAUGCCAAUUUUAAUGACGUUCUACGUUUUGCUCUAUGAUGAUUAUUGUGUAACAGUACCAAUAACUUGGAUUGACUUUGAACAGUGUUCUUUUAAAAUGCCUGCGACAAAAAAUCUUACUCAAGCUUGUCGCAAGCAAUUAUCACCACAUAAUGAUUGGAACGAGUUUAAGUUUCAUAAACAUUUUGGUCCGUAUGAUACUUACUCAAAUGCACGGUCAGUUGAACAAGCAGUAGCCCAAAUGUCUACGUCAGAUGAUACAAUAUUGUCCUAUAGGAAGAAAAAGAGAAUAUUCCGAAAAAAAGGUUUAUUAAAGCACGUAAAUUUUAUGGCGACACAUCGAAUGAAGAUGAACCAAAAAAGAAAAAAGUUCUAAAAUUCCCUUCGAACUACAUUGCAGACAGUCAAAAUGUAUCUCACUUAUCAAGCCAGCCGAUUAAUACAUCAUCGAAAAUUACUAAGCUAGCAUGCGGAUCUAUUACAGCAAUCAACGAGGCUUUUACCAACGUGGCAACCAAAAAUGUAAACAAUAUUUUAGAAACCGGAGAAAGUGAUGCGAUAUUAAAAAAUAAUAAUUUUAUAGAUGAAAAUACGUUACAUUCAUACGAAGAUGAGUCGUCAUGUAGUGACACAGAAAUGCACAAAAUGACCGAGAAGCAAGAAAAUCUAAAAGUUGUACAAGGGAAUGUAACAGUUGAACCAACAAUUGUUUCACAAAUAACUAUUCCUCCUUCCACGAGCACUGUAACACACGAUUCAAUAACAUUGGAGCACACAUUUUGUUGUGAAAAAUGCCGCAAAAAUUACUCGCUCAAAUAUGAGAAAAUUCAACGGAAAAUUCAACUCAACCAUAUCAUUCAAUUACUAGAAAAUGAAAAUAAUCAACAAAAUGAAAUAGACGAAGACGAUGUAUCGUUGUUACCCAAUUUUCCCCUCACUACAGUGGUACAAAUAGAAAUGUUCAAUAACAGAUUGGAUGAUAUUAAUGUUCGGCAACAAUUUAUGAAAAAAAUGGCGCAUUUUAGUGGAAAUACUGUACCAAAAUUUGUGAAUAACUUAAUGUCGGAAACUAUGGGCUAUGAAGUUGCACAAGCUUACACGUGGACAGGCCAAAAGAAGAGGUUAUCAUUAAAAAAAUCGAAACUGUCUGACACAAUAAUUGCAAUUGUUUUGAAGAAAAAGAAUACCACAAUCACUGAAGUAGAAGCAUGUAUACAAGAAUGGUUGCGACGAUCUGGCGAUAGGAAGAGAAGAUUGUUAAACAAGUAA
Solenopsis invicta (red fire ant) is the source of this 1394-nucleotide RNA transcript. RefSeq lists it as uncharacterized. The record is from RefSeq and is a predicted model, not a curated record. The transcript is spliced from 10 exons. Lineage: Eukaryota; Metazoa; Arthropoda; Insecta; Hymenoptera; Formicidae.